RNAcentral lists this ribosomal RNA (465 nucleotides) under uncultured bacterium. RNAcentral describes it as "partial 16S ribosomal RNA". It matches the Rfam family "Bacterial small subunit ribosomal RNA", at positions 28 to 507 of the family's 1533-position model. The record is from RNAcentral.
GACGAACGCUGGCGGCGUGCUUAACACAUGCAAGUCGAACGGAAAGGCCCCUUUGGGGGUACUCGAGUGGCGAACGGGUGAGUAACACGUGAGUAACCUGCCCUUGACUUCGGGAUAACUUCAGGAAACUGGGGCUAAUACCGGAUAGGAAUCCUUGCUGCAUCGUGGGGGUUGGAAAGCUUCGGCGGUUUUGGAUGGACUCGCGGCUUAUCAGCUUGUUGGUGGGGUAGUGGCUUACCAAGGCUUUGACGGGUAGCCGGCCUGAGAGGGCGACCGGCCACAUUGGGACUGAGAUACGGCCCAGACUCCUACGGGAGGCAGCAGUGGGGAAUAUUGCACAAUGGGCGGAAGCCUGAUGCAGCAACGCCGCGUGCGGGAUGACGGCCUUCGGGUUGUAAACCGCUUUCAGCAGGGGCGAAGCUUGUGGUGACGGUACCUGCAGAAGAAGCACCGGCUAACUACGUG